AACCCAUUUGAGGACAUUUUCGCAGGAGCUCCUUGAACCUGUCCCAUGUCUCAAAUAGACACUACAAUUAUGUUUGGAUAAAAGAGGAUAUUUCAUUCCUAAGCUU
This is a small nucleolar RNA of Dioscorea cayenensis subsp. rotundata (Guinea yam), 106 nucleotides long. Lineage: Eukaryota; Viridiplantae; Streptophyta; Magnoliopsida; Dioscoreales; Dioscoreaceae. The record is from RefSeq and is a predicted model, not a curated record.